This 450-nucleotide ribosomal RNA is filed under the name uncultured Streptococcus sp. RNAcentral describes it as "bacterial SSU rRNA". It matches the Rfam family "Bacterial small subunit ribosomal RNA", at positions 929 to 1382 of the family's 1533-position model. The record is from RNAcentral. Lineage: Bacteria; Bacillati; Bacillota; Bacilli; Lactobacillales; Streptococcaceae.
GCGGUGGAGCAUGUGGUUUAAUUCGAAGCAACGCGAAGAACCUUACCAGGUCUUGACAUCCGAUGCUAUUUCUAGAGAUAGAAGUUACUUCGGUACAUCGGUGACAGGUGGUGCAUGGUUGUCGUCAGCUCGUGUCGUGAGAUGUUGGGUUAAGUCCCGCAACGAGCGCAACCCCUAUUGUUAGUUGCCAUCAUUCAGUUGGGCACUCUAGCGAGACUGCCGGUAAUAAACCGGAGGAAGGUGGGGAUGACGUCAAAUCAUCAUGCCCCUUAUGACCUGGGCUACACACGUGCUACAAUGGUUGGUACAACGAGUUGCGAGUCGGUGACGGCGAGCUAAUCUCUUAAAGCCAAUCUCAGUUCGGAUUGUAGGCUGCAACUCGCCUACAUGAAGUCGGAAUCGCUAGUAAUCGCGGGUCAGCACGCCGCGGUGAAUACGUUCCCGGGCCUU